RNAcentral lists this ribosomal RNA (337 nucleotides) under Enterobacter cloacae. RNAcentral describes it as "bacterial SSU rRNA". It matches the Rfam family "Bacterial small subunit ribosomal RNA", at positions 57 to 392 of the family's 1533-position model. Lineage: Bacteria; Pseudomonadati; Pseudomonadota; Gammaproteobacteria; Enterobacterales; Enterobacteriaceae. The record is from RNAcentral.
GCAGUCGAACGGUAGCACAGAGAGCUUGCUCUCGGGUGACGAGUGGCGUAUGGGUGAGUAAUGUCUGGGAAACUGCCUGAUGGAGGGGGAUAACUACUGGAAACGGUAGCUAAUACCGCAUAACGUCGCAAGACCAAAGAGGGGGACCUUCGGGCCUCUUGCCAUCAGAUGUGCCCAGAUGGGAUUAGCUAGUAGGUGGGGUAACGGCUCACCUAGGCGACGAUCCCUAGCUGGUCUGAGAGGAUGACCAGCCACACUGGAACUGAGACACGGUCCAGACUCCUACGGGAGGCAGCAGUGGGGAAUAUUGCACAAUGGGCGCAAGCCUGAUGCAGCC